This 909-nucleotide ribosomal RNA is filed under the name Pseudomonas sp. N-2. RNAcentral describes it as "bacterial SSU rRNA". It matches the Rfam family "Bacterial small subunit ribosomal RNA", at positions 8 to 912 of the family's 1533-position model. Lineage: Bacteria; Pseudomonadati; Pseudomonadota; Gammaproteobacteria; Pseudomonadales; Pseudomonadaceae. The record is from RNAcentral.
AGAGUUUGAUCCUGGCUCAGAUUGAACGCUGGCGGCAGGCCUAACACAUGCAAGUCGAGCGGAUGAGAGGAGCUUGCUCCUCGAUUCAGCGGCGGACGGGUGAGUAAUGCCUAGGAAUCUGCCUAGUAGUGGGGGACAACGUUUCGAAAGGAACGCUAAUACCGCAUACGUCCUACGGGAGAAAGUGGGGGAUCUUCGGACCUCACGCUAUUAGAUGAGCCUAGGUCGGAUUAGCUAGUUGGUAGGGUAAAGGCCUACCAAGGCGACGAUCCGUAACUGGUCUGAGAGGAUGAUCAGUCACACUGGAACUGAGACACGGUCCAGACUCCUACGGGAGGCAGCAGUGGGGAAUAUUGGACAAUGGGCGAAAGCCUGAUCCAGCCAUGCCGCGUGUGUGAAGAAGGCCUUCGGGUCGUAAAGCACUUUAAGUUGGGAGGAAGGGCUCAUAGCGAAUACCUGUGAGUUUUGACGUUACCAACAGAAUAAGCACCGGCUAACUUCGUGCCAGCAGCCGCGGUAAUACGAAGGGUGCAAGCGUUAAUCGGAAUUACUGGGCGUAAAGCGCGCGUAGGUGGCUUGAUAAGUUGGAUGUGAAAUCCCCGGGCUCAACCUGGGAACUGCAUCCAAAACUGUCUGGCUAGAGUGCGGUAGAGGGUAGUGGAAUUUCCAGUGUAGCGGUGAAAUGCGUAGAUAUUGGAAGGAACACCAGUGGCGAAGGCGACUACCUGGACUGACACUGACACUGAGGUGUGAAAGCGUGGGGAGCAAACAGGAUUAGAUACCCUGGUAGUCCACGCCGUAAACGAUGUCAACUAGCCGUUGGGAUCCUUGAGAUCUUAGUGGCGCAGCUAACGCAUUAAGUUGACCGCCUGGGGAGUACGGCCGCAAGGUUAAAACUCAAAUGAAUUG